Molecule: ribosomal RNA, 490 nt
Filed under: uncultured bacterium
Lineage: Bacteria
Description: partial 16S ribosomal RNA
Rfam family: Bacterial small subunit ribosomal RNA
Source: RNAcentral
AUUGAACGCUGGCGGCAGGCCUAACACAUGCGAGUCGAACGGUAACAGGAAACAGCUUGCUGUUUCGCUGACGAGUGGCGGACGGGUGAGUAAUGUCUGGGAAACUGCCUGAUGGAGGGGGAUAACUACUGGAAACGGUAGCUAAUACCGCAUAACGUCGCAAGACCAAAGAGGGGGACCUUCGGGCCUCUUGCCAUCGGAUGUGCCCAGAUGGGAUUAGCUAGUAGGUGGGGUAACGGCUCACCUAGGCGACGAUCCCUAGCUGGUCUGAGAGGAUGACCAGCCACACUGGAACUGAGACACGGUCCAGACUCCUACGGGAGGCAGCAGUGGGGAAUAUUGCACAAUGGGCACAAGCCUGAUGCAGCCAUGCCGCGUGUAUGAAGAAGGCCUUCGGGUUGUAAAGUACUUUCAGCGGGGAGGAAGGGAGUAAAGUUAAUACCUUUACUCAUUGACGUUACCCGCAGAAGAAGCACCGGCUAACUCCGUG